CCUACGGGAGGCAGCAGUAGGGAAUAUUGCUCAAUGGGGGAAACCCUGAAGCAGCAACGCCGCGUGAAGGAUGAAGGUUUUCGGAUUGUAAACUUCUUUUUUUAGAGAGGAAAAUUACGGUCUCUAACGAAUAAGCACCGUCUAACUCCGAUCCAGCAGCCGUGGUAAUACGGAGGGUGCAAGCGUUACUCGGAAUUACUGGGCGUAAAGAGCGCGUAGGCGGGAUGGCAAGUCAGAUGUGAAAUCCUAUGGCUUAACCAUAGAACUGCAUUUGAAACUGUUAGUCUAGAGUGUGUGAGAGGUAGGUGGAAUUCUUGGUGUAGGGGUGAAAUCCGUAGAGAUCAGGAGGAAUACUCGUUGCGAAGGCGACCUGCUGGAACAUAACUGACGCUGAGGCGCGAAAGCGUGGGGAGCAAACAGGAUUAGAUACCCGAGUAGUC
Molecule: ribosomal RNA, 440 nt
Filed under: uncultured bacterium
Lineage: Bacteria
Description: partial 16S ribosomal RNA
Rfam family: Bacterial small subunit ribosomal RNA
Source: RNAcentral